GGCGCCGAUCGUUAGCUGAGGCUCCUUCGUGAACACACGCCAGCGACCCCAUACGUCGAGAGACGCUCCGGGUCAGGACAGGCUUCCCCGGCUUAAGGGGUCGCCCCGAUUGGCUCCCGCUCCCGGGUGACGUCACGAAGUGCCAAAGGUCUUACGUGGAGAGGCUGA
Molecule: small RNA, 168 nt
Filed under: Microbacterium laevaniformans
Lineage: Bacteria; Bacillati; Actinomycetota; Actinomycetes; Micrococcales; Microbacteriaceae
Description: Magnesium sequence
Rfam family: M-box riboswitch aptamer (ykoK leader)
About the family: M-box riboswitch, also know as ykoK leader is described as a metaloregulatory RNA that sense divalent metals and function as a genetic control element of genes related to divalent metal transport in bacteria.
Source: RNAcentral